Molecule: long non-coding RNA, 1955 nt
Organism: Anguilla anguilla (European eel)
Lineage: Eukaryota; Metazoa; Chordata; Actinopteri; Anguilliformes; Anguillidae
Exons: 3
Source: RefSeq, a predicted model, not a curated record
CAGUGGCAUUGAUGCACCACACCAUGAGUACUAAUAGCUCCCCCUUGUGGACAAUCUUCAGCCUGCUAAAUCAAAGUGCGACGGUGCAAAAAUCAGAGGCUGAAAUAUCGAAGCAAGCCGACGGACCCGAACAGGGAAAGGAACGGCAGGAGGGUGGUCCCGGGCGCGGCGGUCAUUCCGGCAGCGCUGGAGAACCUCGCCGGGGACGAGCCGUAUUCGCGGGCGCUCCCUCGCUCCCUCCCUCGCUCUCUGCUCCCUCGCGAGCCGCUCCCUCGCGCUCCGCCCCUCGCGCCGCCCCUCACGCCGCCUCUCCAGACCUGCGACAUCACCGUCUCGCAGAAGAAGGCCGACAGCAGUACGAACGUCCAGCAGGCGGCUACAGCUCUGUUCAUCCUGGUAAAAAAAAUAAAAUAAUAAUAAACCCACUCUGGGGAAAGAAAGAAACAGGAUGUCAUGCCAUUUCCCCCAUAUUUGUUUAUUUUUUUAAUUUGUAGUAGGCUACAGUGAUGGAGGGUAUCCAAGCCCUUAGGCUAAGUAUGUUGCACCUGAUAAAAAUGUAUACCUGGAUUUGCUCAGGAACUGUACAUGAACGAUGUACGUAUGCACAAAAUGAUAGUAUACACUUUAACACAUUCAUUCUACUCAAGUGGACAGGAAGAGGCAAAUGGCAGUUUUUGCAGAUGUAUACAUCAUUUCCUGUCUCCAUACUGAAGGUGCCUGAGAUAUCUCUUUCUGGUGUGCUCUUAAUAGUGCUUAGUAGUGUUUUCAGCCUUUGGGGUCACAUUGUUCGUAACAAGGUAAGGAAAAAUUUUCUGAUUCACCUUCAUAGUGUCAUACAUUUUGGGAUCUCAAACUCUGUGGCAUUCCAGGACUUGACGUUCAGAUCCCCGUUCUCAAGUAUUUAAUAUGUAGUGUAUAUCAGUGCAUUAAAAUGUACUAAAUGUUGAAAAUUGAUAAAUUACUUAUUUAGUUUCAAUAAUUUUAAACCAUCAUCUUGGGACAAGGCAUUUUAAAUAUUUUAUUUACUUAUUUUUGCCUUUUUUUUCUGAACUCACAUGUUGACUGACAUCUGUCAUCCUCAUACGCUCUAAAUUCUCCUUGUGUCCACGUGAAUUUCCUCCAGGUACUCCAGUUUUAUCCCACAGUCCAAAGACAUACAGGUAACAUCACCAUCACCAAGUCGAACUACGCUGCUGCCGCAUACCACUUCAUCAGGGCAUUCAGGCGAGGGGAGCUGGGCAGAGUGAUGCUGGACUGAUCACACCGCCCCCUGCUGGUCAGAGGAAUGUUAAGGUGGUCCCAGGUGGUCAGUGGUUCUCCUUCAGGAAGAUUGAAAUGCCCUAUUUGCAGUGCUGUGAUAAAAUUGUGAUUAGGAAAACAGAGCGUCGUAAGUGUAGAGAUGCUUGCAUAAUAGUCCUCUAAGUGUGCCUUACAUGGGCAAAAACCCAGGUAACUAGGCAACUACCUGCGUACAUUUACCCACCCUUACAUAAACAAAAUAAACUGAAUGUAUGUUCAAUUAUCAAGAUAUUGCAACACUUAAAUACAUAUGGGAAAAUAAACUGGUUACUGUCACUUUCAGGUAUAGGAAUUUGUUUUGUACCAGUACACUGCUGUGAAAUAUAGUCAUCAUUGUAUACUUUUCAGAAGCCCAUCCAUGUACAUUUCAUACGGUACAUUUCAGUAUAUUCAAUUGUUCUUAAUGUAACGAGUCAAGCUUUUGCAUUGACUAGUUUCACGUUGUACUUUGAAUGGCAUUGAUGCAACGCACCAUGAGUACUAAUAGCUCUCCCUUGUGGACAAUCUUCAGCCUGCUAAAUGUGAGUACGUAUGUGCUUGAGUGAGUAAAUGAGUUGCAAGCCAGAUCCGUGAGGUGCUUUGCAUCUAAAUUGAGUCUGAUGUAAGUGCAUUAAUUAGAGAUAAAUGUGCUUUUUAAAGUGAACAUUCUGGAUGGA